This 2029-nucleotide long non-coding RNA is filed under the name Numida meleagris (helmeted guineafowl). RNAcentral's name for it is "lncRNA (ENSNMEG00000001408.1)". The record is from RNAcentral. Lineage: Eukaryota; Metazoa; Chordata; Aves; Galliformes; Numididae.
GGGAGGGUGGUGAGUGUGCAAAGGGGUGUGCAAGGGGGAUGAGUGUGCAUGGGGGGGUGCACGUAGGGGUGGCGGUAGUGGUGUGCAGGUGCACGUGGGUGAGUGUGCAAGGGUGGGUGGGUGCACGUGGGCAUGCAUGUGCUCGUGGGUGGGUGUGCACAGGUGUGUGAGUGCACGUGGGUGUGCGCAUGGGUGUGCAUGUGCACCAUGCGGGUGUGUGCACAGGUGUGGGUGUGCAUGUGGGUGAGUGUGCACAGGUGUGGGUGUGCGUGCACGGGUGUGGGUGUGCACGUGGGCGUGCAUCUCCACAUAGGAAAGUGAGAGUGCACACGUGUGUGAGUGCACGUGGGUGUGCACAUGGGUGUGCAUGUGCACCAUGCGAGUCUGUGCACAGGUGUGGGUGUGCAUGUGGGUGAGUGUGCACAGGUGUGGGUGUGCACGUGGGCGUGCAUCUGCACAUGGGUAAGUGAGAGUGCACACGUGUGUGAGUCCACGUGGGUGUGCACAUGAGUGUGCAUGUGCACCACGUGGGUCUGUGCACAGGUGUAGGUGUGCAUAUGGGUGAGUGUGCACAGGUGUGGGUGUACACUGGGAAGUGUGUGUGUGCACGGGUAUCUGUGCAUUGGGGAGUGUGUUUGCACAUGGGGGGGUGUGCAGGUCUGUGGAGGGAUGUGGGUGUGCACACAGGUGUGCACACUCAAGUGUGAGCGCACUUCUGCACGGUUGUGCGUGCACGGAGGUGGUUGUGCACGUGGGUGUGCAUUGGGGUGGGUGUGCACGGAUAUGUGUGAGUGCACAUGGGUGUGCACAGAGAUGGGCGUGUGCAUGCAGAGAGAUCUGUGUGGGCACAUGGGUGUGCAUUGGGGUGCACGCACCUGGGUGUGUGCAUGGGAUGUGUGCACACGGGUGGAUGUGCAAGGCUGUGGGUGUGCACUUGAGUGUGAACACAAAUGUGCGUGCACAGGUGACGGUGUGCUACCGCACAUGGCUUCGCAUGCACAGAUGUGUGCGUGUGCACGUGGGUGUGCACACGGGGGUGUGCACCAGUUUGGGUGUGGAUGGGGGCAGACGUGCAAGGGGGUGGGUGUGCACGGAGGUGGGUGUGCACAUGGGUGUGCACGGCGAUGUGAGCACCUGUGUGAGUGUGCAUGUGUGCAAGGAUGUGUGUGCAUGGUUGUGCAUGCAUGUGGGAGUGUGUGCACGUUUGUGCAUGCGUGCUUGGAUAUGUGUGUGCAUGGGAUAUAUGUGCACAGUUGUGUGUGCACAUGGGCGUGCGGGCACGUUUGUGCACGUGUGCAGGGACGUGUGUGCACGUGGGUGUGUGUACAUGGGGUAUGUGUGCAUGGUUGUGCGUGCACGUGGGUGUACGUGCACGUUUGUGCAUGUGUGCUUAGAUGUGUGCGUGUGCAUGGGAUUUGUGCACACUUGUGCGUGCGCAUGGGUGUGCGGGCACAUUUGUGCACGUGUGCAUGGUUGUGUGUGCAUGUGGGCCUGUGUACAUGGGAUAUGUGUACAUGGUUGUGCACACACGUGGGAGCACAUGCACGUUUGUGCAUGUGUGCUUGGAUGUGUGUGUGCAUGGGAUUUGUGCACACUUUUGCGUGCACAUGGGUGUGCAUGCACAUUUGUGCACAUGUGCAUGGUUGUGCGUGCACGUGGGCGUGUGUGCAUGGGAUAUGUGUGCAUGGUUGUGCGUGCACGUGGGCGUGUGCAUGGAUGUGUGUGUGCACGGCGGUGGUGGGUGCGCGUGCACGGGUGUAGGUGUGCACGGGGGCGUGCACGGGGCCACACGCACUUGGGUUCCCUCGGGUGCGUGUGCACGGGGGUGUGCACGUGGGGUGCGGGUGUAGGUGUGCACUUGGGGGGGGCUGUGUGCACAGACGUGCACGGGGGUGCCCACGUGAGUGUGACAAUGGUGACAAUGGGGGUGUGUGUGUGGGGGGGGGUGCACACUGGGGCCAGUGGUCACCAUGGCGACCGCAUCCCUGGGUUUGGGUGGCAGCGGUCGCCGUGGCAACCGAGAUGCGAC